AUGUUUCAGCUAUUCCUGCUUUUCUUUGAUCCAGUUUCGAUUAUUCUCGGUUGUGUAUGGGUCUAUCGUCUAGUGAUGCCCCUAUCUUCUAGUGGUUCAGGACAUCUCUCUUUCAAGGAGGCAGCGGGGAUUCGACUUCCCAUGUUUUCUCCGAAGGGUGAAGGCGGAUUCUCUGAACUUAAAAUAAGGGUGAAGGAUACAUACAAUAUGCCGGGUCUAAAGUGUGUCCCGGAGAAGCCCAACGAGAAACUAAGAAUCCUGUUAUAUAGAGAAAAAAACUAUCAUUCAUUUUUCCAAUAG
This 300-nucleotide ribosomal RNA is filed under the name Triticum aestivum (bread wheat). RNAcentral describes it as "partial small subunit ribosomal RNA". The record is from RNAcentral. Lineage: Eukaryota; Viridiplantae; Streptophyta; Magnoliopsida; Poales; Poaceae.